GGAAACUUGAACUAAUACCGUAUGCGCCCUUCGGGGGAAAGAUUUAUCGGAGUUGGAUGAGCCCAUGUCUGAUUAUCUAUUUGGUGGGGUAAAGGCCUACCAAGGCGACAAUAAGUAGCUGGUCUGAGAGGAUGAUCACCCACACUGGGACUGAGACACGGCCCAGACUCCUACGGGAGGCAGCAGUGGGGAAUAUUGGACAAUGGGGGCAACCCUGAUCCAGCCAUGCCGCGUGAGUGAUGAAAGCCCUAGGGUUGUAAAGCUCUUUCACCGGUGAAAAUAAUGACGGUAACCGGAGAAGAAACCCCGGCUAACUUCGUGCCAGCACCCGCGGUAAUACGAAGGGGGCUAGCGUUGUUCGGAAUUACUGGGCGUGAAGCGCGCGUAUGCGGAUCGGUCAGUUAGGGGUGAAAUCCCGGGGCUCAACCCCGGAACUGCCUCUAAUACUGCCGAUCUAGAGUUCUAGAGAGGUGAGUGUAAUUCCGAGUGUAGAGGUGAAAUUCGUAGAUAUUCGGAGGAACACCAAUGUGCGAAAGCGGCUCACUGGCUC
This 550-nucleotide ribosomal RNA is filed under the name Nitratireductor kimnyeongensis. RNAcentral describes it as "bacterial SSU rRNA". It matches the Rfam family "Bacterial small subunit ribosomal RNA", at positions 152 to 735 of the family's 1533-position model. The record is from RNAcentral. Lineage: Bacteria; Pseudomonadati; Pseudomonadota; Alphaproteobacteria; Hyphomicrobiales; Phyllobacteriaceae.